AUCUUGGUCUGUUUAAAAAGUGCUUAUUUGCCCAGUGGUGUUUCAGCUCAGGUUUUUAUUUCCUUUCAUUUCUCCAUCUUAUGGGGUUUUCCUGGCAGCUCUUUAGGAAGUGGAUGACUCAACAGUUAAAAACAGAAACUUCUGAAUAUUUAAGAGAAACAAAAAAUGUCUUACUGAAGACACAUGAAUUUUAAAUAAUUUUCAACAAGUGCAGAGUACUGCAGAAGUAUGUGAACUCCCUAAUGAGCUUUGUGGAACAAGAAAAGGCUAUAAAGGAUGAAGCCUGGUGAUUCUUACCAUCUGUGUGAUUGUGAUUUUUUUUCCUAUCAGUAACAGUGCUUGGCAUUGACUUGCUGCAAAAUUAAAGCAUUCAACUUAAGGAGAGCCUCACAGAAAACUAUGCUAACGCUGAAAGUACUAAGGCCUAGGAAGAGGAUCAGCAGUUGGAUCUGCAUAGCAGUUCUCUUAUGGAGUAUGGACAUCACCCACGUUCUGAGCCAGCACCUGCUUCUAGAGAACCAAGUGCAAAGUCUGGGAAUCAACAUUAAUUAUGGAUUAUUGGUAAUGGAAUUUCUUCUGCUAAAGGAUUAUCAAAAUCAGCAAGCAGCAAAAUUAGUUCGUGUUUCUGUUCUGGACGCUAGAUGGCAAACUGAUAGUGUGAUAGACAUCAGGCUUGUUAUCAUGGAAAUCUCUGAUUAGGUAUGCUGUACAAAAUGCAAGUUAUCUGUAUGCAAAUGAGCAGUAGCUUGAUGUGGUGCAUGCUGAUAGCAAACAGAAUACUUCAAUCUUUAUGUUUCUAACUAAUCUGUGACUUUCCAAGAUUGGACAAUGCGGCUUUUGUUGGAAUCGCAGAGGUCUCUACAGCAAAUGCUUCAGGUGGACUUCCUUUCUCUUUCUGGCCCUUCCAUGGCUGAGCAGGGAGGUGUGUCAGACAGCCCCAUGGUGGGCUUCACCUGGAAACCAGGGGCGAUUCAACCAAGGUUAACUCAAGGUCCUUGAAGAGGGACUGUGACACAGUACAGAGCUGUGAGGAUACACCCAAAGGAGCACAGAUAAACUCCCAUGCGUCCAUUUUGUAAGGGCCUCAUCAUUAACACAAGAUAUCUGAGGGAUUUGAACAGCCAACACAACACUGGCUCAGAAUAAAUCUUUAUCCUUCAGAUAUCAUCAUGCAUGUACAAACCUUUAUUUCCAAUAUAACAGCCCGGGGAACAGUGAAACCAUGGGGAAGCUGCAAGGUUAAAGCUGUUAUUCAACAUAUCACUGCCUCUCUACCAUACACCAGCAAUUACUUACAACACAAGCUGCUGGAGAGUCACUCAAGCUGGCAAAAAAUUCUUCUGCAGUAGCUCCUGGAUGAUGUCUUCCCUGUCUCUCUGGUCAGAACCAUGGCAGC
This is a long non-coding RNA of Gallus gallus (chicken), 1396 nucleotides long. NCBI's taxonomy places the organism in Eukaryota, Metazoa, Chordata, Aves, Galliformes, Phasianidae. The record is from Ensembl.